This 316-nucleotide unclassified non-coding RNA is filed under the name fungal sp. Its description in RNAcentral is "partial contains small subunit ribosomal RNA, internal transcribed spacer 1, and 5.8S ribosomal RNA". The stretch from base 1 to 47 matches the Rfam family "Eukaryotic small subunit ribosomal RNA", at positions 1785 to 1831 of the family's 1831-position model. The record is from RNAcentral. Lineage: Eukaryota; Fungi.
AAAGUCGUAACAAGGUCUCCGUAGGUGAACCUGCGGAGGGAUCAUCAUAGAAAACAACUUUCUAUAUAAGUUGCAAGGAAGGGAAUUAGGUGGAUAUUGGAAGGAAAGCAUACUCUGCAUUCUUUUUUAUUGGUGCCUUUUUCCUUCUUUGUUUCUUCAAACAAACGAUCGCAACUAUAUCAAAGAAAUUGAUUUGGAUGCAUGACAGCAAUGUCUUGCUUGAUAAAAGAAACAAGUGUUUGCCUGAUAUUCAAUGCCAUUGAUUUGGUUGGAAAAUAGUUAUAUACAACUUUCAACAACGGAUCUCUUGGCUCUC